CAGUAUUUACGAAGGGACUGGUUGGUUUAUAUUUUUGUUUAUGUAAAUGAAAAAUGUAAAGUUGUGUGUAGUAGUGAGACAAAAGCCUUUCAUACAUUUAUUUAAGGUUGUCUGUUGUCUGUUUGAAGGUGUGUCUGCAAAGCUCUGAAACGUUUUGUCUUUUUUUAUCUCUUCUGCUCUGGAUAAGGUGGACUUCUCUCCUCUGACCGGUUACCAAGACAGCUGGGUGUGUAGGAAACUGGAACUAAGUCACUGAAGAAGUAAACCGAUGAAAACCGAUUUGGAUUGUCUGAGAGAUGUAACUGUAGGGCACAAGUAAGAGGAGAAGAAUGCUGCUCAGCUGGGUCGGCGUCGGCCACACUACUUAUUCAAGAAGCCCUUGGAUAUCAUCGGCAUGUAUGAAGCACAGUCAUUCCGGUAGUCCGUUCCUCGAUGGACGUGAUGACCUGGCACCAAAACCGCUUAAUGUGUACGGAGCUGUGUCUGCAUCGAGGGAAGAACGCGGCACUGAAAUGACACAAAUGAAAGAAGAUUACUUCUGCUCUGCUGGGUCUGUGACACUAUUUAUCCGAGGAGUCCUCAAACAUCAGGAUGUAGGAAGACACAAGUAAAAGGAGAAGAAUGCUGCUCAGCUGGGUCGGCGGCCACACUACUUAUUCAAGAAGCUCUUGGAUAUCAUCGGCA
This is a long non-coding RNA of Engraulis encrasicolus (European anchovy), 684 nucleotides long. RefSeq lists it as uncharacterized. The transcript is spliced from 5 exons. NCBI's taxonomy places the organism in Eukaryota, Metazoa, Chordata, Actinopteri, Clupeiformes, Engraulidae. The record is from RefSeq and is a predicted model, not a curated record.